CAGUCGAGCGGUAAGGCCCUUCGGGGUACACGAGCGGCGAACGGGUGAGUAACACGUGAGUAAUCUGCCCUUCACAUCGGGAUAACCAUUGGAAACGAUGGCUAAUACCGAAUAUGACAACGGAUCGCAUGAUCUGUUGUGGAAAGUUCCGGCGGUGAAGGAUGAACUCGCGGCCUAUCAGCUUGUUGGUGGGGUAAUGGCCUACCAAGGCGACGACGGGUAGCCGGCCUGAGAGGGUGACCGGCCACACUGGGACUGAGACACGGCCCAGACUCCUACGGGAGGCAGCAGUGGGGAAUAUUGGACAAUGGGCGAAAGCCUGAUCCAGCAACGCCGCGUGAGGGAUGACGGCCUUCGGGUUGUAAACCUCUUUCAGCGGGGACGAAGCGAAAGUGACGGUACCCGCAGAAGAAGCACCGGCCAACUACGUGCCAGCAGCCGCGGUAAUACGUAGGGUGCAAGCGUUGUCCGGAAUUAUUGGGCGUAAAGGGCUCGUAGGCGGUUUGUCACGUCGGGAGUGAAAACUCAGGGCUCAACCCUGAGCGUGCUUUCGAUACGGGCAGACUAGAGGUAUGCAGGGGAGAACGGAAUUCCUGGUGUAGCGGUGGAAUGCGCAGAUAUCAGGAGGAACACCGGUGGCGAAGGCGGUUCUCUGGGCAUUACCUGACGCUGAGGAGCGAAAGCAUGGGGAGCGAACAGGAUUAGAUACCCUGGUAGAAUCACUAGUGAAUUC
Molecule: ribosomal RNA, 733 nt
Filed under: uncultured bacterium
Lineage: Bacteria
Description: bacterial SSU rRNA
Rfam family: Bacterial small subunit ribosomal RNA
Source: RNAcentral